CCUACGGGUGGCAGCAGUAGGGAAUCUUGCACAAUGGGCGAAAGCCUGAUGCCGCAACGCCGCGUGUGUGAAGAAGGUCUUCGGAUCGUAAAACACUGUCAGCAGAGAAGAAAGUGCUAGAGAUUAACCCUUCACGCAUCGACGUUACCCAACCAGAAAGCACCGGCUAACUACGUGCCAGCAGCCGCGGUAAUACGGAGGUGGUAAGCGUUAACCGGAUUUAUUGGGCGUAACGGGAACGCAGGCGGUGUUUUAAGUCAGAUGUGAAAGCCCUCGGCUUAACCUGGGAACUGCAUUGGAAACUGGGAGACUUGAGUGCAGGAGAGGGGAGUAGAACUCCAGGUGUAGCGGUGAAAUGCGUAGAUAUCUGGAGGAACACCAGUGGCGAAAGCGGCUCUCUGGACUGUAACUGACGCUGAGGUUCGAAAGCGUGGGGAGCAAACAGGAUUAGAUACCCGUGUAGUC
RNAcentral lists this ribosomal RNA (465 nucleotides) under uncultured bacterium. RNAcentral describes it as "partial 16S ribosomal RNA". It matches the Rfam family "Bacterial small subunit ribosomal RNA", at positions 338 to 795 of the family's 1533-position model. The record is from RNAcentral.